Molecule: RNA transcript, 4155 nt
Organism: Dermacentor albipictus
Lineage: Eukaryota; Metazoa; Arthropoda; Arachnida; Ixodida; Ixodidae
Gene name: RAB11-binding protein RELCH homolog
Source: RefSeq, a predicted model, not a curated record
AUUCCCUUUUAUCAUCAUCAAGUUUUUUCUCCUUGGGGUUAUUCGGCUGUCGUCCGUCAACACAAUGUACUCCAAACUCCGUGGUGUGGCAGCUGGCCCGACAGCUGAAACGAUGGAAAAUGAUAUUUCGAAGUGCACAUCAUCCCUCGACACUUCGAUUCUGCUUCCUCUACCGACUGAAUUAGAAAGUGUGCACGACGUGACUAUAGACAAAAUUGCCGCGAAGCUUCUGAAAGACAAUUUCAUUUUGACCGCUUUGGAAUUGCAUGCCGAGCUCUUGGAAAGCGGCAGGGAACUACCCAGGCUGCGGGACUAUUUUUCUAACCCAGGCAACUUUGAAAAGCAUAGCCACUCGACUUUUGAUGCUUCUCCGGUGCUGCCAAGAACAUCGAGUGUCCAGACAUUUGAUUCUUUGGAUUUCACAAGGUAUUCAGAUGACGGAGAGAAACAGCUGGAUGAAAGAGUUGCUGUUCUAGAAUUUGAGCUUAGGAAGGCUCGUGAAACCAUCAAAAACCUGCGAGCAAACCUAACUGUUGUUACAGAGUCUGACCCAAACACUCCUGACAAUGGCAGUGAGCACACAACUGUUUCAGAGGAACCUUUGCGCCCUCAUGAGCGGCGAGCUGUCAACUUCCUUCUGAACGAGUACUUACUAAAGCAUGAUUACAAGCUGACAUCCAUCACUUUUUCAGAUGAGAACGAAGUCCAGGACUUUGAGGACUGGGAUGACGUAGGUCUGAACAUUCCCAAGCCACCUGAUCUGGUGCACCUAUACCGUAGUUACAACAAGCACUCCCGUCUUUGUUGCGAUGUUGUAGAAUGUCAAGUGCAGACUGACUUUGAAGAUUCAAAUGGGCAGCGAGACCUCGCAAACAACUUUGAAGCUCUUGCAGCUGAAAAGGCCGCCCUGGAAGCUGAACUUAACCUAUUAAAGGUGCAUAUGGAGAAGACCAACCAAGAAAAUAUUUUGCUAACAGCAGAGCUGGACAAAGUUUUGUUUUCUCGAGCAGAAUUGUCCUUCAAGCCCAAUUUGCCUUUGGAGGUGGCAGUUGACACAUUGUCUGAUGCUGUAGAACCCUGUACCCCGAGCCCAAGUGUGGCUGUAGUCUCACCAUGCAAGGAGCUGCCAGAGGAAAAGGACGACUCAGCAAAAAAGCACAUGCCACAGGCACUUACAAUAUGUGUGGCUGAUCAAGUGUGUGAUGAAAAGACAUGUUAUAUGGCUGUUGAUGGCAGUGAGAGUGUCAGCAAACCAGAAGAAUCCGAAGUCCUUAAGAGUACAAGAAAGACGUGUCCAGCCUUUCUUGAGGCCCUUAUGAAUGUAUGCCGACCUCAUUGUGAGCUGUCUGACUCACGCCUUGCGAAAGAUGUGACAUCGGUGGCUUCAUCAGGCGAGGAGGUGGUUCUGAUGCUCGCUCGGUGUCUUCCACAUAUUGUGCCUAAUGUCCUUCUGGCAAAACGAGAGGAGCUGGUUCCCCUGCUCUUGGCAGCCAUCAAUUUGCAUCCGGAUGCUGCUCAACGUGAUGUCCUUCUGAAUCUGUUAUUCAACCUAACGAAGCGCCCUGAUGAUGCACAGCGCAGAGUCAUAUUGGCUGGGCUCCUGUCUGUGGCUGAGUGCUUGGGCCCUGAAAGAGUUGAAGCUGAGCUUCUGCCACAGUGCUGGGAGCAAAUAAACCAUAAGUACUUGGAAAGAAGACUUCUGGUGGCAGAGUCUUGUGGCUAUUUGGCAUCGCAAGUAGCCCCUGAGAUUCGUAGCUCCCUGCUGCUGUCCAUGCUACAACAGAUGCUCAAGGAAGAAAAAGAGGACAUGAUCCGUGAAAGGGUUGCACAUAGUUUAGCUGUGCUGCUAGCCUACGUGGAUGACCAAGAUAAGUUUUCUCAGGCAGUUGACCUGGCAUUGCUUGUAGUAGCUGAUGCACAUGCAAGCAUGGCUGAGGUGGCACAGACUGUUUUACUUCCUUCUGUUGCAUCGUGGGCACUAGAAAUAGGCCACCUGGAGGACACGCUGCUUUCCACACUGAUUAAACUUCUUGAAGAUCAUAUAAAGGCCUUGGCACUGCGAUCAGCUGAUGGCCCAACUGCACUUACACAAGCUGAAGAACAACACUCGGUGCAUCUCAUUAAGGCACUUGGAGCCUUGCUGCCAUUCCUUUUUGUUCAUGUUGUCGAAACUGGCCCCUACAUGAGCCGUUUGAACCUCACAGACAGCUCCUUGAAGAAUUUGUUGGAAGAUGGUAGACUGCCGCAACCACAAAGCCCACUGUUUGACCCAUUAAAAAUCUCAAAUUAUACUUUAAAAAUGCCAGCUGUGGUAGCAGCAUUUGAUGAGCACAUUGGACAAGAAUGGUAUAAGACAUGGCCAGCUUUUGACUGGCUUCUCAGCAAGUUCAUUCCCUUCCUGACAGGCAUAGCUACUUGCACAGACCCAUCAAGCCGUGCCACUGUGCAUGCACUGUCUGGGCUCCUUCUCAGUGUCUGCCGACUUUUUGGUCACACCUUUACUCAGUGCAAAGUAAAGCCUGUCUUUUCUGCAUUGAUUCCUCUCAAUGAGGCCUUCACUCAAGAAGCGAAGAACAUGUUGACAAGUGCUGUGGGACCUGUAUAUGCAUCUGGCAUCCUGGCAGCUUUUUCUUGUGAGGCUGAUUGCAAGGAGCUGGUGGCCUUCUUGAAGAAUCUUCUGUUUAUUGUGUCACUUUGUGAACUUCCUUUGUCAAGUGUGGAAAGCAUCUUCAUUGAGCUUAGCAUGAACAAAAAUUACCAUGAAGUUCUGUUGUCGGUGCUUUGGGAAGGAGUGGUCCAUAACACUGCACUUGUCCGAAGCAAUGCAGGCCGCCUUUUUGAGCUUCUAGUUGGGACUGUGUCCGAUCCAUUGCUGAAAAGUCAUGUGACUCCAGCGCUUGUGACUCUUGCAAGUGACCCUGAAAUUUCUGUGCGCAUAGGAACAGUGAGACCAUUCGGAAUGAUUUUGGCAACAAGCAGUCAAAAAGAUUUGCUUGAUAAAGCAUUCAUGCAGCUGCAGACUUUUCUUGAAGACCCUCUGCACAGAGAUGACCGCUCAAUGCAAGCUGAGUUUAUCCAUAUGUUUGCGUCAUUAGGCCCAAAUACAGAGCCACGCUUUAGAGACGAAUUCAUCUUACCUCACCUUGCAAUCUUGGCUAUGAGAAACAAUCAGAAUACAAAUGACUCAUCAAGGGUGGAAAUCAUGGAGUUGCUUCUUGAAGCCUACAGUGCAUUGUCUUGCACCUACAUUUCAGAACAUGCAAUCUCGGAUGCAUUCUUACCAGGCUUAAGAUGUUUGUUGGAAGAUGCAAGGCAAGUUGCACCUUGCCAUGAGUCAGCAGUUUCAGCCAUGAUUGCUGAUUUUGAAGCCAAAUUGGACUGCUGCAGAGAAAGAACCCCAUCACUGAGCUCGCCAAUGGCAAGUAUGGAGGAGAUGAAGCGGAAGAUGACGAAAAUCUUCACUGUGCCUCCUACUAAUGCUCGUUCAAACCUUCCAAACAUCUUUCAGUUGCGAAAGAAAUGAGCAGAGGCAUUGCUAGUCAAGGCCUACAGUGGGGGCAGUGUCACAGAGGCCUCAGGAGUCCUCCGAGCCUGUGCACAGUGGCCCCGCGGUGACCCCUCCCGCCCCCGUGGUGGAUGCAGCAGGUGCUGCUCCAUCCUCUUCGAAGGGCCUCCAUCCUCUUCGAAAGGUCCACCCGUUCUGCAGGGCCCUAAAAUCAACCGAACCCUAAGGCUUGAGGUGAGCCCAAGCUGGAACUUUUAAACAGUCUACAGUGUAAAAGGUACUGGAAGGACACCAGUCUGCAUCGCAUCUAGUCAUGACCAGAGGAAAGAUGUGCUUUAUGUUUUUACAUAAUGCUAUACAAUGGACCCAUUAGGAUAUGUUGGAUGGGUCAAAUGAUAUACAGUGUCGCAUAAAACAGUAAUCUUUGUUUUUAAGGCGGUUUCUGCCAUGGAUUUUAUCUUUUAUGCUGAAGAGAGAUUUUGUACAUACAAUACUACAUAUUUUUGGAUGGCUUUUAUUGAAGAAAGGUCCUUUGAGCUUGUGAUUUUUUCAUGAUGCAAGUCCAUAAGGACUCAUUGUAAAUACACUUGUGUAAACUGAAGUCUGUGGGGUCUAAGCCACAAGAAUAAAUUGCAUAUCUUACAAAGCAA